GUGGGGAAUUUUGGACAAUGGGGGCAACCCUGAUCCAGCCAUGCCGCGUGCGGGAAGAAGGCCUUCGGGUUGUAAACCGCUUUUGUCAGGGAAGAAAUCCUUUGGGUUAAUACCUCGGAGGGAUGACGGUACCUGAAGAAUAAGCACCGGCUAACUACGUGCCAGCAGCCGCGGUAAUACGUAGGGUGCGAGCGUUAAUCGGAAUUACUGGGCGUAAAGCGUGCGCAGGCGGUUUUGUAAGAUCGAUGUGAAAUCCCCGGGCUCAACCUGGGAAAUGCAGUGGUGACUGCAAGGCUGGAGUGCGGCAGAGGGGGAUGGAAUUCCGCGUGUAGCAGUGAAAUGCGUAGAUAUGCGGAGGAACACCGAUGGCGAAGGCAAUCCCCUGGGCCUGCACUGACGCUCAUGCACGAAAGCGUGGGGAGCAAACAGGAUUAGAUACCCGGGUAGUCC
RNAcentral lists this ribosomal RNA (450 nucleotides) under uncultured bacterium. RNAcentral describes it as "partial 16S ribosomal RNA". It matches the Rfam family "Bacterial small subunit ribosomal RNA", at positions 354 to 796 of the family's 1533-position model. The record is from RNAcentral.